RNAcentral lists this ribosomal RNA (461 nucleotides) under uncultured soil bacterium. RNAcentral's name for it is "bacterial SSU rRNA". It matches the Rfam family "Bacterial small subunit ribosomal RNA", at positions 26 to 487 of the family's 1533-position model. The record is from RNAcentral.
AGAUUGAACGCUAGCGGGAUGCUUUACACAUGCAAGUCGAACGGCAGCGCGGACUUCGGUCUGGCGGCGAGUGGCGAACGGGUGAGUAAUAUAUCGGAACGUGCCCAGUAGCGGGGGAUAACUACGCGAAAGCGUGGCUAAUACCGCAUACGCCCUACGGGGGAAAGGGGGGGAUCGCAAGACCUCUCACUAUUGGAGCGGCCGAUAUCAGAUUAGCUAGUUGGUGAGGUAAAGGCUCACCAAGGCGACGAUCUGUAGCUGGUUUGAGAGGACGACCAGCCACACUGGGACUGAGACACGGCCCAGACUCCUACGGGAGGCAGCAGUGGGAAUUUGGACAAUGGGGAAACCCUGAUCCAGCCAUCCCGCGUGUGCGAUGAAGGCCUUCGGUUGUAAGCUACGUUUGCGAGGAAGAAACGGACGUGCCCGUAAGUACCGGACGUCGACGUGAACGGUACCGU